This is a non-coding RNA of Canis lupus familiaris (dog), 83 nucleotides long. The record is from Rfam. NCBI's taxonomy places the organism in Eukaryota, Metazoa, Chordata, Mammalia, Carnivora, Canidae.
GCCUGGGUCGCUCAGUGGUUGAGUGUCUGCCUUCGGCUCAGGUAAUGAUCCCGGGGUGCUGGGAUCGAGUCCUGCUUCAGGCU